This 1075-nucleotide unclassified non-coding RNA is filed under the name Hevea brasiliensis (rubber tree). Lineage: Eukaryota; Viridiplantae; Streptophyta; Magnoliopsida; Malpighiales; Euphorbiaceae. The record is from RNAcentral.
GGGAGAUGAUGAUACAGUAUUUUUUGUAGAGAAUUUAGUGAUGGUAUUAGCAAAAUACGAUCAUAAUCAGAUGUAUUAUAUCGGAGGCAAUUCGGAGAGUGUUGAACAAGACGUGAUACACUCGUAUACUAUGGCUUAUGGGGGUGGUGGGUUUGCUAUUAGUUAUCCUUUAGCAAAAGAGCUCGUCAGGGUUUUGGAUGGCUGCAUUGAUCGAUACACAUCGUUUUACGGCUCUGAUCAGAGGGUCCAGGCCUGCAUGAGCGAGAUUGGAAUUCCUCUCACAAAGGAGCUUGGUUUCCACCAGGUUGAUAUAAGAGGAAACCCAUAUGGUUUACUAGCCUCACACCCGCUGGCGCCAUUGGUCUCUCUCCACCACCUUGACUAUGUACAGUCGAUAUUUCCAGGGAUGACCCGGAUUGACUCGCUCAAGAAGCUCAUUGUACCUUACGGAAUGGAUCCGGGUCGGACUCUACAACACAGUUUCUGUUACGAUUUGAACCGUAAUUGGUCGGUAUCAAUUUCUUGGGGCUACACCAUACAACUGUAUCCGUACUUGAGGACGGCGAAGCAACUGGAGACUGCUUUUCGAACGUUUCAAACAUGGCGGAGUUGGAGCCAUGAACCCUUCACGUUCAACACCCAACCCAUAAGUCAUGACCCGUGUGAGAGACCGGUUGUAUAUUUUUUAGAUCGGGUUGAGAGUGUUGGACGGGGUCAGACCUUGACCACUUAUAAAAGACACGUGGAAGAAGGAAAUGAAAGUUGUGACCGACAGGACUAUGCUCUUGUUCAGGCCGUCCGGUUUGUCAAUGUGACAAGUUCCACAUUGAAGCCCGACAUUUGGAACAUGGCACCGCGUAGACAGUGCUGCGAGAUAGUCAACAGAGAAAAGAAGGUGGUAGAGGUCAUGAUUAGAGGCUGCAAACAAUUUGAAAGCGUCACUCCUCCAUAGAUUAUGGCGCACAAAUUUUAACUAAAAUCUUCCCACCCAGGCUGUUCUUUCCAACUCUGCUUCAGUUUUUAGAUGUCAAUUCGCCAACUACUGCGUCCUACUUACCCCACUGGCGACUGAUUA